GCCUGUCACAUGAUCGACUAGUUUAUUUCACUACCUGUCUUGUUGGACAUCAAGUGGAAGUACAAGUGAUGGACGGAUCAGUGUUUUCAGGGAUACUUCAUGCGACAAACGCUGAAAAAGAUUUUGGUAUCAUUCUGAAAAUGGCGCAGUUGAUAAAAGAUAGCUCUGAGGGGAUGAAGAGUAGUUCUGAAACUUUUAGCAAGCCUCCAUUAAAGACUUUGAUAAUACCGGGUAAAGAGUUUGCUCAAGUUACAGCAAAGGGUGUGCCUACAACUCUAGACGGUUUCAGAACAGAAUUCAUGCUGGAACAGCAGCAGGAACUUUUGACUGAUUCAUGCAUUUCACAAUCUCGGCAUAUUGAGGUAGAGCGGCAAUUGGAACGCUGGGUACCUGAUGAUGAUGCUCCUGAAUGUCCUGAUCUGGACAAUAUAUUUGAUGACCAUUGGAAUAGGGGCUGGGAUCAGUUUCAAGCCAAUGAAACACUGUUUGGAGUAAAAAGCACAUUUGAUGAGGACCUUUAUACGACAAAGCUUGAGAGAGGUCCUCAGAUGAGUGAGUUGGAAAAAGAAGCUCUAAGAAUAGCUAGAGAAAUUGAAGGUGAGGAUACACGUGAUCUUCAUCUAGCAGAG
This 629-nucleotide unclassified non-coding RNA is filed under the name Hevea brasiliensis (rubber tree). Lineage: Eukaryota; Viridiplantae; Streptophyta; Magnoliopsida; Malpighiales; Euphorbiaceae. The record is from RNAcentral.